UACAGAGGUCUCAAGCGUUGUUCGGAUUUACUGGGCGUAAAGGGCGCGUAGGCGGUCAGCACAAGUCAGUUGUGAAAUCUCCGGGCUUAACUCGGAAAGGUCAACUGAUACUGUGCGACUAGAGUGCGGAAGGGGCAACUGGAAUUCUCGGUGUAGCGGUGAAAUGCGUAGAUAUCGUAAGGAAGACCAGUGGCGAAGGCGGGUCUCUGGACAGUUCCUGACGCUGAGGCACGAAGGCCAGGGGAGCAAACGGG
Molecule: ribosomal RNA, 254 nt
Filed under: uncultured bacterium
Lineage: Bacteria
Description: partial 16S ribosomal RNA
Rfam family: Bacterial small subunit ribosomal RNA
Source: RNAcentral